This is a long non-coding RNA of Mobula hypostoma (lesser devil ray), 393 nucleotides long. RefSeq lists it as uncharacterized. Lineage: Eukaryota; Metazoa; Chordata; Chondrichthyes; Myliobatiformes; Myliobatidae. The record is from RefSeq and is a predicted model, not a curated record. The transcript has 3 exons.
GCAGCAGCGGGCAGGUGUUUGCACCAGGGGCUUCAGGACUGCAGCCGAGGCAUCUGUCACGCAGUUCAAAGAGGGCUGAAGGCACAUAAAAGCUGCAAAGGUAUAAGAAUGACCAAUUAUAUCACACUAGCAAUUCUUUUGGCCCAGUCAGCUCCACUAUCACACAAGUAUUAGUCAUCUAAUCAACACACACAAAACACUGGAAGAACCCAGCAGGCCAAGCAGCAUCUAUGGAAAAGAAUACAGUUGACAUUUCGGGCUGAAACCUGAGAAAAAAAAUUAGUCAUCUCUUGACCCUGAAUAAAGACGAUUUCGCCUUGCCCCUCCUCCUCAGUCCGGGUGCAGACACUCAGCAUGGAGGUCACGUUUUACUGCGAAUAAAAGCCUUCCAUU